AGAAAAGACCCCAACGUGUGGCCUAGGUUUCUCAGAGAGAGAGAGCUUGAGAAAGAGAGAGAGGCAGAGAGACAUAGACAGUGCAGAACCCCCUUCUCUCACCUUCCCUUCCACCCUCAUCUGGUGCAUGGAUGGAGCUUUCCUCUUGAGAUUCAAAAGGGACUUUCAUGGUGAUUUGAGCCCUUCUUUAUAGGCAUUUACAGCAAGGUAACCUUCACUCCAUAGUCUUAUUUCAUGAGUUCAUACUUGCCUUUCCAUGCCUCUUUGGUUGCAAUGCAUGAUAGCAGAAUCAUACUUUGUCUUGAGCCCCUUUCCAUGAGAUUUAGUUCAGAUUUUUGUAGCUUCAUUUUCUUCUCCUUCUCACCCACAUAGCAGCCAAGUUUGAUUUUAUAAGGGGUUACUAUGCCGAAAUUCUUCCUUGCACCAUAUUGAAAGUUUCAUGUAUCAUAACCCUUAAUCAAGCUCAACACACCUCUCUUUUUAACCUUCUUUUGGCGUGCUCCAUAUAAUAUUGUUAGUGGUGGUUUUGUUGAUCAUUUGAGUUUGGCCUUCAUACUAUAUGUUUCCCAUAAUUUUUAUUGAAAUUGAAUCACAUAAUUUCCCUACCGGAUUGGGUAAUCAAAUUAGUUGUGAGUAAGACUCUAACCGGCACAAAUUUGAUCCAUAUUUAGCUUCCCAUAACUUUGAGACUUAAGUGCACAAUUUAGCUGUGUGUAUGUAACUUGAGAUUGGCUAAUUGUGUAUUUGAUGGUUAUGUAAUUUGUAUAAUUGAAGUCCUUUGUGUUGAGGUGUAAUUUGAUUAUGUAUUAUUUUUGGCUAAUCUAUAAGUUAAGUUUUGAGUAGAACGAGUAGUGGACGAUUUGGAAUUGAUAGUGUUGUAAUUUGCAAUGUUUUUGUUAUGUAAUUUUGAUUUAAAGUGAGUCAUAUCUUCUUGUAAUUUUGGAUUUGAGGUUGCAUUUUAGGUAUUUUUCUUAAAAGGUUUUACAAUUUGAAAUCCUUGGGCAAGGUAUCAAGACAGCCAGACAGUUUGAAUAUCAUCAAAAGUGUAAAAUGCUCCAUAGUACUUGUCUCGUAAGUAUUUUGAUAAAUUUUCCAACGAAAUGAAAUUUAAUGGAGUUACCAGGUAACUAAGCAAGGCAACCGAUUUGCAUGUUCGUGCUUGUUAAAUUUCACAGUCAAGCUUGCAUCCAAAGAUAACAAGUUUAUGAAUGGAUAUAUUCCUUUGUAGAUUUGGUUUGUAUAAGGUGUCAACUUUAAAGAAAUCAUAAUAAGCCGUGCAUCUAAAUUUUAUUAAAAGAUACAAUCAUGGUACUAAAAAUAAUUGCAAUGCCUUAAAAAUCUAUUUUUCACCCUUAAUUAUUAAAUUUGAAGCUCUAAAAAUGAUAUGGAUCUAGUAGAUCUAUAAACGUUUAAAAUUUUAAAAAUUGACAGUUUGGUUGAUAUGUAACAAGAUGCAAUGUAUUUAGAGCUUAAAGUCCAUUUGCUUUCCAUAUCCAUAUAUUGAGGUUAAGAUGAUCAAUUGUAGAGUUAUUUGAUGUCUAAACAACAUUCCUAGGUGAAUUUUUUAUGCAUAUCUUACUUCUACAUUAUAAGGUUGAUCCUUAUAUAAACCUUUACCUUUAUUUAUUAGCACAUACAGCAUUUGUUCUCUCAGGAGCAUACUACAUACUAACUCCUGGGGCAAAAAGAGCUAACUCGAAGAAUUCUUUUGCUUUGAAAAUUUGGGAUCUAUAUAAGAAUUAAAAAAAUAUAGAUUUUGAGUUCCUGAAUACUUGGAUCUAAUCAUUGAAAAAUUGGAAUAUCUCUAUUCAUCUCAUGACAUUAUUUUUUUUGAGGUAUAUGCACAAUAUUUUUUCUUACUUUUUUUCGAGUCUUUUUGUAGAACGGUAAGUAGAUUCAAGAGGCUACAUCACAACAAUUAGGACCUAAAAAUGCUUAUAGCGUGGGUUUUUUUUAUUUUUUUUUAUUUAUUAGGGAAUGACUUAAGCCAAUUUGCUACUCCUACCUGCUUCCAUGACACACGUGUGACUGUUUAGCGUGGAUUUUCUUUAAUAAUUAUUUAAGGAAAAUGGAAGAUCCUAGUCUUUUGUUAAAAAUGGGCACUACAUACUUAUCUUUUGAACACGUCGUGGUGCUAAGACGGACAAACUCAAUGUAUACGAUAUAGUUUAUGGAAAAGUUUAUACAAGGACGCACCGCAGGUUAUUUUGAUGCUCAAAUAUUUUCAAAUUGAUCAUCUUAUCCUUAAGAUGCAUACACAUGAGAAAAACAAUGGAUUUCAAGUUUUGAAAAUAGUGCAUCUUGUAAUGCAUUUUUGAACCGUCAAUUUUCAAGAUUUUCAAGUUUUCAUAGAAGUACUCUAUCUAUACUAUUUUCAAAGCUUUAAAUUUUAUAAUUAUAGAUGAAAAUUUAUUUUAAGGCUAUCACCAAUAUUUCCAAUAUUGAAAGCACAUUUUUCGAUGCUAUUUGAAGGUGCAGUUUUACUUUGAUUGUUUAGAGCCUCGGCCAUAUAGAAACUGCACCCAUAUUUAUUGAUUACUCCUUGGAAACAUAUGGUGCAUUUACUCUUGGAAAAAGUUUAUAUAAGGUUGCAUCCUUAUAUUGUGGAGCUACGGACGCACCUCAAAAUCUAUCAGAAAAGGUAAUUUUAAUGUUGAAAAACCCUUUGAUUGAUCAUCUCGACAUUGAGAUGUAUGACCAUCAAAAAUAAAAAGAUUUUAAGUCUCAGAAAUAGCGCAUUUUACAACAUAUUAUCUACACCGUCUAUUUUCAAGAUUUUCAUGCGAUUUAUAGAUUACUUGAUUUUAACCAUUUUUAAAAUUUUAAAAUUUAUAAUUAGAUAUAAAAACAGAUUUUGAGAUAAUUCUAAAAACAUUUUACAUCAAAAUGAUAUACCAUGAUAAAAUUUGAAGACACACCUUACCUAAUUUUAAGACACACCUUACCUCUACAGCUGCAUCCGUAUGCCAACUGCACCCUUUACUCUUUUAGUUUAAAAAGUAACUUGCAUUAAAGAAUCACCACAUAAUCAUUACCAAAAAAGUAAAGAAAAAAAAAAGAAGAAGUGAUUUCAGAUUUUAAAUACUUUAGAUAUAAGUGUCCAGAAAUUGGAUUAUCUACAUGUUAUUUUUUCGGACACAUAAAAGUGCAUCUUAGACCUUUUUCAAUUUUUUAGGUUCCACUGAAAGUUGAAGAAGUUACAUUCCUAAUAUUUUACAUCCCCGAAAUUUUGUCUCAAAAUACUCUAAGAUCAGGUUUUACCCGUGUAUUAAAACGAGAAAAUUCUCACGCAAGAGCAUAAAAUAUUUUGACUUCAAGGAAUAUACAAAAUGAUGUAACGAAGUACAUUAGUUGGGGGAUUUGAUGAACUAUGCUUCUAUUGACCAUCGAUGUAAAUUACCAAGAUAAUUCACACCUGUCAUUUCUACCCACUAAAGUCAAAGUCUCGACCAAUGUAAUUGGAAAUUUCUACCCACUAAAGUCAAAGUCUCGACCUAUGUAGUUGGAAAUGCAUGCAAUAAGACUAUUUACUUUUGAUAUAGUUGGAAAUGUAUGCAAUAAGACUAUUUACAUGAUAUAAGGAAGUCAAAUCAUUUUUUUGAGAAAUUUACAUAGGAAUGAAAUAUGAGGCGUUGUGCUAUGAAAACCUAGGCUCUAAUGUCUUAACCAAUGUCCGAUUCUUAAGGAGGUCACAAUCAUUAUUCACUGUCAUAUGUGAAAUCAUUUAGAGAUGUGUCAUUGACUGGCAUAGAGUCCAAAAUACAAUUUCUUGAAUGUUGUUGCACACUUCAACCUGUCAGAUUUAGCAUCUAAUGGAUAAGAGUAACUAAAACCCUCCUGUAUCAACAAUGAAUAGUCUUGUAGCAUACAUUCCCUUCUUCUAAAAUCCCCAUUGAGUCAAAAGUAGAGGCAGACAUAAACAUGAAAAUUGGGAUGACAAUGUCAUAAUUUAGCAAUGGGAAUAAACUAGUAGUAUUUAAAGGCAAGAUCGGUAAUGGGGUACACCAAGUCAAGUACUCCAGUUGAUCGGCGUCAAUAAUACCUUAUUGCAUUACUGAUUAACCAACCAUCUAAUUUAAUUCAAUCAAGAGUGAUGAUCCAAUGGAGAUGAGGAUGAGUCUACUCUUAAGGCAGCAAUCCAUUGAUUCUUUGAACCUUUUCGUCUUUUUGGUGAGUGUUGUUAGUAUAAUAAGGGCUAGUCCAAAUAUCUGC
RNAcentral lists this long non-coding RNA (4212 nucleotides) under Amborella trichopoda. RNAcentral's name for it is "long non-coding RNA (ATRI_LNC002391)". The record is from RNAcentral. Lineage: Eukaryota; Viridiplantae; Streptophyta; Magnoliopsida; Amborellales; Amborellaceae.